This 72-nucleotide transfer RNA is filed under the name Bos taurus (domestic cattle). It matches the Rfam family "tRNA". Rfam says of the family: Transfer RNA (tRNA) molecules are approximately 80 nucleotides in length. Their secondary structure includes four short double-helical elements and three loops (D, anti-codon, and T loops). Lineage: Eukaryota; Metazoa; Chordata; Mammalia; Artiodactyla; Bovidae. RNAcentral also lists the same sequence under 3 other names. The record is from Rfam by way of RNAcentral.
UCCCUGUUGGCUCAGCUGGUAAAGUAUCUGCCUGUAAUACAGGAGAUCUGGGUUCGAUCCCUGGGUUGGGAA